Molecule: long non-coding RNA, 2161 nt
Organism: Lepus europaeus (European hare)
Lineage: Eukaryota; Metazoa; Chordata; Mammalia; Lagomorpha; Leporidae
Exons: 4
Source: RefSeq, a predicted model, not a curated record
GUGCGGCUCCGGGAGGCCCGCCGGGGUGCGGGUGGACAGCUCUAAGGCUUCUUAGGGGGUCAGGCCUUCCCACUUCCCCCUGUGCGCGGCCAGGGCUGCAGGAGGGGGUGCACGGAAUUGAGAGAUCACCCCCAAACCCCAGGGAUUCUGGAGCCAGGGCCUCACCCGUGUUUCCAACAGGGGGCCCCAGGCAAGAUUGGAGAAAGCCAGGCCGCCCUGCCUGGUUGCCGGCUGGCCUGCAGGAGCCGCCGCUCUUCCUCCACCAGGAGCAGGGUCAUCUUCUCAAACUCCACCAGGAUGCGCGUUCUCCUCUCCUUCACCAUGGCCUGCGGGAGCAGCACCCCCACCCCUGAAUGUGAGGGCUGCCUGUGUUGGAAACAGGAGGAAGGGGCACCGACUCUCACCCCGAGCGGAGCUUUAAGAAAGUAUUACAAGCAAACACGCCCUGCAGACCACAGAAGGACAGCCCCUACACAAGCCGAAGCCUCCCCUGGCCACCUCCCCACAUCCAUGUUCCUGGUUCAGCGACUUUGGUGUUUAAGUGAACUUUGACCCUGCAGUCCAAGCCACUUCUCCAUUCGCCUCUGUGUGCGGGAGGACACGCCCUUUCUCCUCUGGUUACCCUGCCUUUGUGACAGGGAGGCCCACCCAGAACCGGGAAAGGCAGAGAUGCCGGCUGUAGGCCCUUCCUCUGCCCCAGUGUCUGGAGAAUGGACAGGUAGGUGGCUGGCCGCCCUCACCAGAGGGGCACGGUGUUGAAUGGACGGGGCUCUGGGGGGAAGACAGGGGACUACCCAGGAAGAUUCUGUGGGGCCCCAAGAGAGCCAACCAGAAGUGACUCGGAGCAUGGGAGAAGAGGAUGGAUGCUGUCCCCAAGGGAGGAUGUGGCUGAGCCAUCACCAAGAGCCAGCCCUUCAGAAUGGCCUGGGAGUGCAGCAGCAGGAAGCUUCCAGGGUACUUUUGGCCUGUCCAUUGAGUUCUAGAAGCUUCCUGGUGUGCCCCAGCCCAGGUGCAGCCAGCCCCACCUCACCACCCAGCAGGCCCCUGGUGGCCCCGCAACCCCUGAUGGCCUAUGGGAGCUCGUAGCUCAGAAACGUCCUGAAUUUAUUUUUGUGAAGUAGUCUUGGGUUUGCAGCACAAAUGAGAGAAGGGACACAGAUCUCCAUGUCACUGUGUGGGACUCCCACAGGAGUCCCAAAAGAGUUACAGAGCACGCAUAGCCAAAAAGAAAGAGAAAAAGCAAAACCAAAAUGGAGUUACUUAAGCUAGGGCACUAAGCACCAGACACUGCCCAGACCAUCUGUCAGAACAGACACAGGUGGCGAGGUCUGAUAAGGACUGGGGACAUUACACCAUAAGCAGCAGCCAACCAGCUGGCUACUGCACUACUGCACCUUCACUACUGCACCAUGACUGGCCACGCCCAGAGACCCCCAACACACCAUGGGUCACACCCAGACACCAUCAUCUGGUUGGUGACACCCCAAAGGAUGAGCCUGUGAUUGGUGACACCCAGGGCACCUUCACCGCCACCUACCCCAGAGGGGGGAUGAAACAGUGAGCCGCAUGACUGCCCUUCAUCCCUCAGGAACCACGACUCAGUGCAAGUGAAACUCUGCCCGCGUCUCCACUGACUGAGCUCUGCCUGCCACCCUGCUGGAGCCCACCUCCCUGGACGUCCCAGCUGCCGCCAGACCUGACAUCGGAGCCGGACCAGACCUCUCAUCAGGUGACAUCAGAGCCGGACCAGACCUCUCGUCAGGUGACCUCUCCAGCCCUUCACCUUGGGAACUCUGAGCGUACUGCCCAGAGUGCCAGUCAUCCCACGACCCCUGCCCGUAAGUGACUGUUCUGAGAGCCGUCAGAGUCUCUGAGUGGGAACGGAGACUUUAGACUCUGGACUUUGACUUUGGUGACCGUGGUAGGAACCUUGAGAACGCAGCCUUCAUAUUACGCCCUUAGCCAUGAGUGAGUGUUUAGAGUGGUUGUGCUUUCAUGCUUUAUACUUAUAACUAUUGCUGGAUACUCCUGGAAAUUGCCUUACUCCUGGAUGUGUUCUGACCUAUGGACUGGUGACAUAUUGAGAGGUAUUGACCUUUAGAUAUGUGCAUUGAAUAUAUAUAUACUGAGUGGUAUUGAUUACUGAAUAAUAAAUUAUAUU